GGUGGGAACUAAGAAUGUGGGGCCCAGUCCCACGGAAUCCCGUGUCCACGGAUACGCCUUUAAGUUCCCCGCCUUGUGCAGUACGCCGCAAAGGCUUAAACUCAAAGGAAUUAACGGGGGCCCGGACAAGCGGCGGAGCAUGCGGAUUAAUUCGAUGCAACGCGAAGAACCUUACCAAGGCUUGACAUAUAGAGGAAAAGUGCAGAGAUGCGCUCCCCGCAAGGUCUCUAUACAGGUGGUGCAUGGUUGUCGUCAGCUCGUGUCGUGAGAUGUUGGGUUAAGUCCCGCAACGAGCGCAACCCUCGUCCUAUGUUGCCAGCACGUAAUGGUGGGAACUCAUGGGAUACUGCCGGGGUCAACUCGGAGGAAGGUGGGGAUGACGUCAAAUCAUCAUGCCCCUUAUGUCUUGGGCUUCACGCAUGCUACAAUGGCCUGGUACAGAGGGCAGCAAUACCGCAAGGUGGAGCGAAUCCCAGAAAGCCGGUCUCAGUUCGGAUUGAGGUCUGCAACUCGACCUCAUGAAGUCGGAGUCGCUAGUAAUCGCGUAUCAGCAACGUCGCGGUGAAUACGUUCCCGGGCCUUGUACACACCGCCCGUCAAGUCAUGAAAGUCGGUACACCCGAAGCCGGUGGCCCAACCUUUUGGAGGGAGCCGUC
Molecule: ribosomal RNA, 656 nt
Filed under: uncultured organism
Description: bacterial SSU rRNA
Rfam family: Bacterial small subunit ribosomal RNA
Source: RNAcentral